UUAUAUUCUGUAGCAAGGUUAACCGUAUAGGGGAGCCGAAGGGAAACCGAGUCUUAACCGGGCGUUAAGUUGCAGGGUAUAGACCCGAAACCCGGUGAUCUAGCCAUGGGCAGGUUGAAGGUUGGGUAACACUAACUGGAGGACCGAACCGACUAAUGUUGAAAAAUUAGCGGAUGACCUGUGGCUGGGGGUGAAAGGCCAAUCAAACCGGGAGAUAGCUGGUUCUCCCCGAAAGCUAUUUAGGUAGCGCCUCGUGAAUUCAUCUCCGGGGGUAGAGCACUGUUUCGGCUAGGGGGCCAUCCCGGCUUACCAACCCGAUGCAAACUGCGAAUACCGGAGAAUGUUAUCACGGGAGACACACGGCGGGUGCUAACGUCCGUCGUGAAGAGGGAAACAACCCAGACCGCCAGCUAAGGUCCCAAAGUCAUGGUUAAGUGGGAAACGAUGUGGGAAGGCCCAGACAGCCAGGAUGUUGGCUUAGAAGCAGCCAUCAUUUAAAGAAAGCGUAAUAGCUCACUGGUCGAGUCGGCCUGCGCGGAAGAUGUAACGGGGCUAAACCAUGCACCGAAGCUGCGGCAGCGAACGUAUCACUUAAAGCGAUUCAGCGGGUUACGAUUGACGGAGCGAAGCGACGUCAAAGCGUAUACAAAGUCGAGUCGGUUUAAGGAUACGUUCGUUGGGUAGGGGAGCGUUCUGUAAGCCUGUGAAGGUGUGUCGUGAGGCAUGCUGGAGGUAUCAGAAGUGCGAAUGCUGACAUAAGUAACGAU
This 767-nucleotide ribosomal RNA is filed under the name Salmonella enterica. RNAcentral describes it as "partial 23S ribosomal RNA". It matches the Rfam family "Bacterial large subunit ribosomal RNA", at positions 628 to 1313 of the family's 2925-position model. The record is from RNAcentral. Lineage: Bacteria; Pseudomonadati; Pseudomonadota; Gammaproteobacteria; Enterobacterales; Enterobacteriaceae.